GACGAACGCUGGCGGCGUGCCUAAUACAUGCAAGUCGAACGCAUUUUCUUUCACCGUAGCUUGCUACACCGAAAGAAAAUGAGUGGCGAACGGGUGAGUAACACGUGGGCAACCUGCCCAUCAGCGGGGGAUAACACUUGGAAACAGGUGCUAAUACCGCAUAAUUCCAUUUACCGCAUGGUAGAGGGAUGAAAGGCGCUUUUGCGUCACUGAUGGAUGGACCCGCGGUGCAUUAGCUAGUUGGUGGGGUAACGGCCUACCAAGGCUGCGAUGCAUAGCCGACCUGAGAGGGUGAUCGGCCACACUGGGACUGAGACACGGCCCAGACUCCUACGGGAGGCAGCAGUAGGGAAUCUUCGGCAAUGGACGCAAGUCUGACCGAGCAACGCCGCGUGAGUGAAGAAGGUUUUCGGAUCGUAAAACUCUGUUGUUAGAGAAGAACAAGGAUGAGAGUGGAAAGUUCAUCCCUUGACGGUAUCUAACCAGAAAGCCACGGCUAACUACG
Molecule: ribosomal RNA, 505 nt
Filed under: uncultured bacterium
Lineage: Bacteria
Description: partial 16S ribosomal RNA
Rfam family: Bacterial small subunit ribosomal RNA
Source: RNAcentral